CGCGACCGAACGAAUCUACAAUUCGUAACUCUUAGUUUUUCGAUAAGCUCCGACCUCUCCAAGUUGCCAGCUCUCAUUGAAAGGUAGAGGUUGUGGACCCCUUGUUCCUGUCUCCAUAGGAAUGCCUCCAUUUUGGGUCCAGUCGUGGACAUCGCUCCUCAUAUUGGCUUGUGGGGGACACCCUUUGGCAAGCCAGGCAUCUAGUGAUUGUGCCAGCUCCAGAUGUGUCCCAUGUCAUGAAGAUUUCGGAUCUUCAGUGAGAAGAGGCCAACACUGCGAGGAUCCCAAGGCACCAAGAGAUGUAACAGGACUCCAGUUGAAUUCUGCUUCAUUAAGAUUUUGGACAUUCAAUGAGAAGAUGCCAAUAACGGUCUUUGAGAACAGCCUCCUAAUCAAUACACAAUUGCCACACUAUAAAUGACUGUAGAAAGGACAUUAUUCAUAAUAACACUCCCCAGUGUUAAUAACAAUUUAUUGAGUGAUCACACCAUCCAGUGUCACCCAAAUGAGGAUGGGUUCUCAUUUGAGUCUGGUUCCUCUCAAGGUUUCUUUCUCAAGGCUGACUCAGGCUUGGGAUUUGGUGCAUAAAUAUACAAACACAUUUAAAUAUAAAUCUAAUAUUAAUCUUGAACAUUUUGUACUAUAUUUAUGUUCUUUAAAGUUACUGUUAAAUUGUGAAAUGAACUGAAUACAAAAAAGAGAAAGAAUACAAAUGAAACUUACUGUUAUAUUUGGAAGAAAAUACACUUUGUUCUGAGAAAAUUAAAAAAUGUUCGGUUUUCAAAACUUAUUGGGAUUAAAAAUUUUUUUUUUUUUUUUUUUUUUUUUUUUUUUUUUUUUAGAUUUCCAAUCAUUUCCAUUAACAAAUUAACAAGACACAAAGCUUCUAGGAGAAUCUCCUUUAGACAGAUCAGACAAAACUGGAGCUCAACCGAUGAGUCAAGUCACGUCUGCUCUAGAACACUGUACCUACUGGAAAACAUGGAAAAAUCCCAAGACUAUCAAGGCAUUCUGGAGAAAAAUGUGCUGAACAGUAUCAGAAAGCUUGGUCUCAGAUGCAGGUCAUGAAUACUCCAACAGGAUAAUGACCCAAAA
Tachysurus fulvidraco (yellow catfish) is the source of this 1095-nucleotide long non-coding RNA. RefSeq lists it as uncharacterized. The transcript is spliced from 3 exons. The record is from RefSeq and is a predicted model, not a curated record. Lineage: Eukaryota; Metazoa; Chordata; Actinopteri; Siluriformes; Bagridae.